GAUGAACGCUAGCGGGAGGCCUAACACAUGCAAGUCGAACGGGAUUGGGAGCUUGCUCCCAUGAGAGUGGCGCACGGGUGAGUAACGCGUAUGCAACCUACCUUUAACAGAGGGAUAGCCCAUAGAAAUGUGGAUUAAUACCUCAUAGUUCUGAGAGACCGCAUGGUUUUUCAGAUAAAGCUCCGGCGGUUAAAGAUGGGCAUGCGUGACAUUAGUUAGUUGGUGAGGUAACGGCUCACCAAGACUACGAUGUCUAGGGGUUCUGAGAGGAUGAUCCCCCACACUGGUACUGAGACACGGACCAGACUCCUACGGGAGGCAGCAGUGAGGAAUAUUGGUCAAUGGGCGCAAGCCUGAACCAGCCAUCCCGCGUGAAGGAUGAAGGCCCUAUGGGUCGUAAACUUCUUUUAUACACCAAGAAAAAGCAGGACGUGUCCUGCCCCGACGGUAGUGUAUGAAUAAGCAUCGGCUAACUCCGUGCCAGCAGCCGCGGUAAUACGGAGGAUGCAAGCGUUAUCCGGAUUCAUUGGGUUUAAAGGGUGCGUAGGCGGCUUUUUAAGUCAGUGGUGAAAUCCUGUCGCUUAACGAUAGAAUUGCCAUUGAUACUGAAGAGCUUGAGUACAAUUGAGGUAAGCGGAAUGUGUAGUGUAGCGGUGAAAUGCUUAGAUAUUACACAGAACACCGAUUGCGAAGGCAGCUUACUAAACUGUUACUGACGCUGAUGCACGAAAGCGUGGGGAGCGAACAGGAUUAGAUACCCUGGUAGUCCACGCCGUAAACGAUGAUCACUCGCUGUAUGCGAUACACAGUAUGCGGCCAAGCGAAAGCAUUAAGUG
RNAcentral lists this ribosomal RNA (836 nucleotides) under uncultured bacterium. RNAcentral describes it as "bacterial SSU rRNA". It matches the Rfam family "Bacterial small subunit ribosomal RNA", at positions 28 to 866 of the family's 1533-position model. The record is from RNAcentral.